GACUGAGACACGGCCCGGACUCCUACGGGAGGCAGCAGUGGGGAAUAUUGGACAAUGGGGGAAACCCUGAUCCAGCGAUGCCGCGUGAGUGAAGAAGGCCUUCGGGUUGUAAAGCUCUUUCGCGAGGGAAGAAAAGGCAACGGUAAAUAAUCGUUGCCACUGACGGUACCUCGAUAAGAAGCACCAGCUAACUACGUGCCAGCAGCCGCGGUAAUACGUAGGGUGCGAGCGUUAAUCGGAAUUACUGGGCGUAAAGCGUGCGUAGGCGGCCAUGCAAGUCAGAUGUGAAAGCCCCGGGCUUAACCUGGGAACUGCGUUUGAAACUGCAAGGCUAGAGUUCGGCAGGGGAAGAUGGAAUUCCAUGUGUAGCGGUGUAAUGCGUAGAUAUAUGGAAGAACACUAAUGGCGAAGGCAUUCUUCUGGGCCGAUACUGACGCUGAGUCACUAAAGCGUGGGGAGCAAACAGGAUUAGAUACCCUGGUAGUCCACGCCCUAAACGAUGUCCGCUAGCUAUUGGAUUUUAGAUUCAGUGGCGAAGCUAACGCGUUAAGCGGACCGCCUGGGGAGUACGGUCGCAAGAUUAAAACUCAAAGGAAUUGACGGGGACCCGCACAAGCGGUGGAUGAUGUGGUUUAAUUAGAUGCAACGCGAAAAACCUUACCUGCUCUUGACAU
This 674-nucleotide ribosomal RNA is filed under the name uncultured bacterium. RNAcentral's name for it is "bacterial SSU rRNA". It matches the Rfam family "Bacterial small subunit ribosomal RNA", at positions 317 to 987 of the family's 1533-position model. The record is from RNAcentral.